GAUGAACGCUGGCGGCGUGCCUAAUACAUGCAAGUCGAGCGAACGGACGAUAAGGUUGCUUCUCUGAUGUUAGCGGCGGACGGGUGAGUAACAAUUGGAUAACCUCCCUAUAAGACUGGUGGAACUUCGGGAAACCGUAGCUAAUACCGGUUCAUAUUUUGAACGGCAUGGUUAAAAAGUGAAAGACGGUCUUUCUGUCACUUAUAGAUGGAUCCGCUCUGCAUGAGAUAGGUGGUAAGGUCACGGCCUACCAAGGCAGCGAUGCGUAGCCGACCUGAGAGGCUGAUCGGCGACCCUGGAAGGGGAACACGGUCCAGACGCCUACGGGAGGCAGCAGAAGGGAACGUGCCGCAAUGGGGGGAAGCAUGGCGGAGCAAGGGCGAGUGAGUGAUGAAGGUCUUCGGAUCGUAAAGCUCGGUUAUUAGGGAAGAACAUCUGUGUAAGGAAACGUGCACAACUUGACGGUACCUAAACAGAAAGCCCCGGCUAACUACGUG
Molecule: ribosomal RNA, 497 nt
Filed under: uncultured bacterium
Lineage: Bacteria
Description: partial 16S ribosomal RNA
Rfam family: Bacterial small subunit ribosomal RNA
Source: RNAcentral